GAUGAACGCUGGCGGCGUGCCUAAUACAUGCAAGUCGAGCGAACGGACGAGAAGCUUGCUUCUCUGAUGUUAGCGGCGGACGGGUGAGUAACACGUGGAUAACCUACCUAUAAGACUGGGAGAACUUCGGGAAACCGGAGCUAAUACCGGAUAAUAUUUUGAACCGCAUGGUUCAAAAGUGAAAGACGGUCUUGCUGUCACUUAUAGAUGGAUCCGCGCUGCAUUAGCUAGUUGGUAAGGUAACGGCUUACCAAGGCAACGAUGCAUAGCCGACCUGAGAGGGUGAUCGGCCACACUGGAACUGAGGCACGGUCCAGACUCCUACGGGAGGCAGCAGUAGGGAAUCUUCCGCAAUGGGCGAAAGCCUGACGGAGCAACGCCGCGUGAGUGAUGAAGGUCUUCGGAUCGUAAAACUCUGUUAUUAGGGAAGAACAUAUGUGUAAGUAACUGUGCACAUCUUGACGGUACCUAAUCAGAAAGCCACGGCUAACUACGUG
RNAcentral lists this ribosomal RNA (497 nucleotides) under uncultured bacterium. RNAcentral's name for it is "partial 16S ribosomal RNA". It matches the Rfam family "Bacterial small subunit ribosomal RNA", at positions 28 to 507 of the family's 1533-position model. The record is from RNAcentral.